This 2632-nucleotide long non-coding RNA is filed under the name Nicotiana benthamiana. Its description in RNAcentral is "long non-coding RNA (NBEN_LNC023441)". The record is from RNAcentral. Lineage: Eukaryota; Viridiplantae; Streptophyta; Magnoliopsida; Solanales; Solanaceae.
UUCGAAUAAUAAUAACUUUUCUGUAUAUAUAUAUAUAUAUAUAUAUAUAAUAUUUAGCUUGUCUAUUACUCUCUCUAGCGGUUAUUUGCUCUGAAGGCGCUGGUUAAGCAGAGGUUUGCUACCGUGCUCUAUCAACGAUGCCGCGCCGGAAACGACGGGCGGGCAAAGCUCCGACCACUAGAAUGAAGAUAGAUCAGGAUAUGAGGGUAAUUACUCCACAGUCAGGGGUCCCUCAAGCUAUGGAACCACUGAAACUAAGCAAUUGGGUAACAAAUGGAGAAGGACCAAGCUGCAUGUAACAGGAAACAACUACUGCUCGAAAAUUAAAGUUUCCUGAGGAACAAGCUAGUCCAAAUCCGAUCAAAGGAAACACUGAAGAUGAAAAACUGGUCAAAGGAAGCCCUGAAGCUGAGUUUCCGAUCAAAGAAAACUCGAAAGAAGAAGGUCCAACUAUGGCGGAUGUGGUGAAAAACAACCGAGCCCAACAUCUAGGUAUGAAAUUGAAGUUUUUCCCUCCGGUCAUUAAAAAUUGUGUAAAAGUAGUACAAUCAAAUGAGAUUGAAAUGGAGAAGCAGAGUAAACACUGGAGAAAUGCUUUAAUUGGCUAUGUAUUAGGAGGUAUGCCUAGUUUCAAGGAGAUGUUACAAUUUGUGUAUGGAGUUUGGCACUUCGUGUCAACACCUAGAGUAUUCCUUCAUGAUCAGUGGCGGAUCUAGGAAUUCAAGUUUGUGGGUGCUGAAUUUUUUUUUACAUAAAAUUAAUGGGUGCUAUUAUAAAUUUUUAUACGUUUUUUCAAAUUUUCUAUAUAACUAUACAUACUCUGCGUCGAGGUUAAUGGGUGCUGGAGCACCCAAAAUUCAUGUGUAGAUCCGCCACUGUAUGUGAGUAGUAAAGCGUGAUAAAGGCUGGUUAUGCGUCGAAGUUAAUGGGUGCUCGAGCACCCAAUCUCAAUGAGUAGAUCCGCCCCUGUUCAUGAUGAUGGAUACGUCAUAUUCAAAUUUGAAUUGGAGGAUGAUAAGAACUUAUUGCUUCAGAAUGGGCCUUAUACAUUCAAAAGUAGGCCGAUGAUUUUAAAGGAAUGGAUACCAGAUUUCAAAAUGAAGAAGGAACCUCUGCGAUUUGUUCCACUGUGGGUAUCAUCCCCUAAGCUACGAUUUAACGCCAUUAUAUCUCAUUUUUGCAUCCAUUACUAGGCUUCUGCUAAUAAGAUCAACCAAGUAUUCUUCUGCCAUAUCUUCUAAGCUCUUUAGUUUAUGUUUUCUAACCAAGCCCCCGGCAACCCACUUCCAUGUUAACUUUGAGACUGGAAUUUCUUCAUCUUCCAUGAAUCCUCCAAAGUAAAGAAAACAAGGUUUAAGAUAUUCAGGUAAAUGCUUGUAACUUAACUCUAUUAUGCCUCUCGAGUCACCAACUGUAGUAGUGCUUAGACUUUCUGCAACUUGUAGCCAUCCAUCUUCUUUAGUAUCCAUUUUUCCGAGAAGACCAGCCACCAAAACAACUGAAAGGGGUAUCCUUGACACUUCUCUGCGAUUCUUUUAUCAACAUCCACAAGUUCUGGAGGGCAUUGUUGGUCUUGAAAUAGCUUCUGUAUUAACAACAUCCAACUUUCCUCAUUAUGAAAAAAACGGAGGCACAAAGGAUCUGUGGUACACUUGGCAUAUGAAGCUACUUCAGCAUGACGAGUCGUUAGAAUAUUCCUUUCUUAUUAUCUCUAAAAGGAGUCUUGACAUCAUCCCAUGCUUCAAUGGUCCAAAUAUCAUCCAUGAAAAUGAGGUACCUCCUUCCUAUGAUACUUUUCCGCAACAGGACAGCCAAAUCUCCCUCACUCUUUUCUUCAACAUUUUCUGGAAGUGCAAUAUUGAUUUGUUGUAAAAUGUCAAUCACCAAUGAUUUCUUUUCAUAUCUUUCAGAAAUGCAGCACCCCACACAAACAUCAAAACGAUUGAUAGCUUUGCAAUCAUCAUAUACUUUCUUGGCCAAAGUGGUCUUUCCAAGUCCAGGCAUUCCAAAAAUGGUUAUAACAUCUAAGUCAGGGGAUCCUCCAAUUACCUUCUGCUUCAAUGUUGCCGAGACAUCUUCAAAGCCCACUACUGCUUCAUUUAUAGUUGGCUUCUCAAUAUGACUGGAGAUAUGGGAAAUCUCGCCAAGAGAAUAUUUUCUGGAAUCAUACAAGUCACUGGUUGAGAUCUUUAUAACUCUUCCUUUGAUAAGCUUUAUAUCUUCUACGAUAUCAGAAAAUGUAUGGUGCCAAAUCGUGCCAUCUCCAUUAGCAACAUAUGAGUCAAUGGCAUAUUCCACUUCAUACGCUACACCUACCACUUUUUCCCAUUCACUUCUCAACUCAACAUGCUCAUUACGCUUCUGGGCAAUUUUCUCAAGAAAUUCCCUUAGAAAUUUGAGCUCCCUUUGAAUCGUCUAGAUUUGACGCUUUAAAAGAACAAUUUGGUCGCCCUUAAAGUUUAAGAUCUCUGCUAGAUUUUCAACAACUAAAUCAAGAAAACCUAGUCCAUCAGUCAUGGGGAAAUUAGUUCUUGACAGUUUUGGAAUUUUAGGACAAAUUUCUCUGUCCUCUGCCUUAAUCAACUUUAUUUUCUGUAGCACAUCCGAGAGUUGAAGGUCCAUUCUUCCACCC